This 298-nucleotide non-coding RNA is filed under the name Callithrix jacchus (white-tufted-ear marmoset). The record is from RNAcentral. Lineage: Eukaryota; Metazoa; Chordata; Mammalia; Primates; Cebidae.
GCUGGGCAUAGUGGCGCGCCCCUGUAAUCCCAGCUACUCAGGAGGCUGAGGCAGGAGAAUUGCCUGAACCCAGGAGGCGGAGGUUGUGGUGAGCCAAGAUCGUGCCAUUGCACUCCAGCCUGGGUAACAAGCGCGAAACUCCAUCUCAAAAAAAAAACAAAGAAAGUGAUUCUUGCAUGUUUUUUGUGUGUUUUUUUGAGAUGGAGUCUCGCUCUGUUGCCCAGGCUGGAGUUCAGUGGCACAAUCUUGGCUCACUGCAACCUCCGCCUCCCGGAUUCAAGGAAUUCUUCUGCCUCAG